GAAAACAAAAGGCUAGCUAGAGAGAGGAGGAGAAAAUUAACACGUAUAAUAAUAUAACUUAGUUUAUUCAUCUCAUAAUCUCUGCAUUUUGCAAGGAGAUCGAAACUGAACAAAACAUACACAAUGACAGAAAUAAAAUAUAGGGCAAACAAUAUCAAUAGCUUAGAUAACAUGAAGCUACAAGAACUUCGCCUCCUGUGGGGCUUAUUUUUUACUCUUUUUGUUUUUCUUCUUCUUCUUCUUCUUUUCUCAUUGCCUCUCGAAAAUGGAAAAAGCCUUUCUUUUAGCUCAACAUUCUGCUUUUCCUGCAUAAGAAUAUACAUUGUGUGAUUAGGUUCUUAGUAAUAUCAAAAGAUACUGAAAAUUCUGAACAUCUAGUGACUAAUAAAUGAAGCUAAGAAAAUAAAAGGCAGAGAGCGCAGUUCUUUAUAAUUUAUAUUAUAUUAAUGUUUUGCAUGAAGACAGUUAUGCAAUUUUGCUUUGCAUUCUUGACAUAUCAUUAUGAAAAUGUCUUAAUUAAUUUGGCUUUAUUACCUUCAACUUUGUGAUGUCACUUCUUAGUAAUGGUAGGGAGGAGGAGGAGAAGCGUAAACAUAGGGGUGGUGUGGUGGUGGUGACUUGUAAACUGGAGUUGGUGGUGGAGGUGACUUGUAAACUGGUGCAGGAUGAUACGGUGUUGGUGAAGGAUGGUAUGGCUUCACCGGUGACGGUGGUGACUUGUAAACUGGUGCAGGAUGAUACGGUGUUGGUGAAGGAUGGUAUGGCUUCACCGGUGGUGGUGGUGACUUGUAAACUGGAGUUGGUGGUGGUGGGGACUUGUAAACUGGGGUGUGUGGAGGAUAGUAUGGCUUCUUGGGUGGUGGUGGUGACUUGUAAACGGGAGUUGGUGGUGGUGGCGACUUGUAAACCGGGGUAUGUGGGGGAUAGUAUGGCUUCUUGGGUGGUGGUGGUGACUUGUAAACGGGAGUUGGUGGUGGUGGUGACUUGUAAACGGGAGUGUGUGGGGGAUAGUAUGGCUUCUUGGGUGGUGGUGGCGACUUAUAAACUGGAGUUGGUGGUGGUGGCGACUUGUAAACCGGGGUGUGUGGGGGAUAGUAUGGCUUCUUGGGUGGUGAUGGUGACUUGUAAACGGGAGUGUGUGGAGGGUAGUAUGGCUUCUUGGGUGGUGGUGGUGAUUUGUAAAUCGAAGUUGGUGGUGGUGGCGACUUGUAAACUGGAGUGUGUGGAGGGUAGUAUGGCUUCUUGGGUGGUGGUGGAGACUUAUAUACAGGGUGGUGGGGUGGUGAUGGAUAGACAUGCACUGGUGGAGGAGGAGACUUGUAGAGGUAUGGUUCCUUAGGUGGUGGUGGAGAUGAGUAUUGAUAAUUUGCUGAGCUUUCAGAAGCUAAGCUCAGCGACACUAAAACCACUAAAAGAGAGGCAAAUAGAGAGGCCAU
RNAcentral lists this long non-coding RNA (1436 nucleotides) under Nicotiana tabacum (common tobacco). RNAcentral's name for it is "long non-coding RNA (NTAB_LNC000558)". The record is from RNAcentral. Lineage: Eukaryota; Viridiplantae; Streptophyta; Magnoliopsida; Solanales; Solanaceae.